This 292-nucleotide ribosomal RNA is filed under the name uncultured bacterium. Its description in RNAcentral is "partial 16S ribosomal RNA". It matches the Rfam family "Bacterial small subunit ribosomal RNA", at positions 505 to 796 of the family's 1533-position model. The record is from RNAcentral.
GUGCCAGCAGCCGCGGUAAUACGGAGGGGGCAAGCGUUAUUCGGAAUCAUUGGGCGUAAAGGGCGCGUAGGCGGCUUGGCAAGUCAAAGGUGAAAUCCCUCGGCCCAACCGAGGAACUGCCUUUGAUACUGCCUCGCUUGAGGCCGGGAGAGGGUAGCGGAAUUCCCAGUGUAGCGGUGAAAUGCGUAGAUAUUGGGAGGAACACCAGUGGCGAAGGCGGCUACCUGGACCGGUUCUGACGCUGAUGCGCGAAAGCGUGGGGAGCAAACAGGAUUAGAAACCCCGGUAGUCC